UACGUAGGGUCCGAGCGUUGUCCGGAAUUACUGGGCGUAAAGAGCUCGUAGGCGGUUUGUCGCGUCUGCUGUGAAAACCCGAGGCUCAACCUCGGGCCUGCAGUGGGUACGGGCAGACUAGAGUGCGGUAGGGGAGAUUGGAAUUCCUGGUGUAGCGGUGGAAUGCGCAGAUAUCAGGAGGAACACCAAUGGCGAAGGCAGAUCUCUGGGCCGUAACUGACGCUGAGGAGCGAAAGCAUGGGGAGCGAACAGG
This 253-nucleotide ribosomal RNA is filed under the name uncultured bacterium. RNAcentral's name for it is "partial 16S ribosomal RNA". It matches the Rfam family "Bacterial small subunit ribosomal RNA", at positions 524 to 776 of the family's 1533-position model. The record is from RNAcentral.